ACAUUUAUCCAAGCAAUUGGGAUUUGAGGCUCAGUCUUUGCGGGCUGUUCCUUUAAAUGCAGUGAGGAUAUGGGUAGGCCACGGCUUGUUUCCCAGUGAGGAUGUUUACAUUCGUGUAAAAUAAUCGCGAGGAUGCAAGUGUUGUCUGCUCGAGUAUAUUCUCUGACAGUGCGUCGCAAGAUGCACACUCUGUACAA
This 197-nucleotide unclassified non-coding RNA is filed under the name uncultured Rozellomycota. RNAcentral's name for it is "uncultured Cryptomycota sequence contains ITS2". The record is from RNAcentral. Lineage: Eukaryota; Fungi; Rozellomycota.